GUAGGUGGCAAGCGUUGUCCGGAAUUAUUGGGCGUAAAGCGCGCGCAGGUGGUUCUUUAAGUCUGAUGUGAAAGCCCCCGGGCUCAACCCGGGAGGGUCAUUGGAAACUGGGGAACUUGAGUGCAGGAGAGGAAAGUGGAAUUCCACGUGUAGCGGUGAAAUGCGUAGAUAUGUGGAGGAACACCAGUGGCGAAGGCGACUUUCUGGCCUGUAACUGACACUGAGGCGCGAAAGCGUGGGGAGCAAACAGGAUUAGAUACCCUGGUAGUCCACGCCGUAAACGAUGAGUGCUAAGUGUUGGGGGGUUUCCGCCCCUCAGUGCUGCAGCUAACGCAUUAAGCACUCCGCCUGGGGAGUACGGUCGCAAAGACUG
RNAcentral lists this ribosomal RNA (373 nucleotides) under uncultured organism. RNAcentral describes it as "partial 16S ribosomal RNA". It matches the Rfam family "Bacterial small subunit ribosomal RNA", at positions 527 to 896 of the family's 1533-position model. The record is from RNAcentral.